UACGGAGGGUGCAAGCGUUGUCCGGAUUUAUUGGGUUUAAAGGGUGCGUAGGCGGCUUUUUAAGUCAGCGGUGAAAGCCCGGGGCUCAACCCCGGAACCGCCGUUGAUACUGGAAGGCUUGAGUAUGGACGAGGUUGGCGGAAUUGAAGAUGUAGCGGUGAAAUGCUUAGAUAUCUUCAAGAACACCGAUUGCGUAGGCAGCUAACUAGGCCAUAACUGACGCUGAGGCACGAAAGCGUGGGGAGCGAACAGG
RNAcentral lists this unclassified non-coding RNA (253 nucleotides) under uncultured Hymenobacteraceae bacterium. RNAcentral describes it as "contains 16S-23S intergenic spacer region". It matches the Rfam family "Bacterial small subunit ribosomal RNA", at positions 524 to 776 of the family's 1533-position model. Lineage: Bacteria; Pseudomonadati; Bacteroidota; Cytophagia; Cytophagales; Hymenobacteraceae. The record is from RNAcentral.